AUUUUUAUAGCUUAAGUAAAAAGCUUUAGAUUCUUACUCUAAAAAUGUCUUUUGACUAAAAAUG
RNAcentral lists this transfer RNA (64 nucleotides) under Lepidotrema longipenis. RNAcentral describes it as "tRNA-Lys". It matches the Rfam family "tRNA". Rfam says of the family: Transfer RNA (tRNA) molecules are approximately 80 nucleotides in length. Their secondary structure includes four short double-helical elements and three loops (D, anti-codon, and T loops). Lineage: Eukaryota; Metazoa; Platyhelminthes; Monogenea; Dactylogyridea; Diplectanidae. The record is from RNAcentral.